CGAUUCCCUACGGGGUGCAGCAGGCGCGAAAACUUUACAAUGCGGGAAACCGUGAUAAGGGAACUCCGAGUGUCCGUAAAUGCGGACUGUCCGUCUGUUUAAAAAGCAGGCGAAGAAAGGGCCGGGCAAGACCGGUGCCAGCCGCCGCGGUAAUACCGGCGGCUCGAGUGGUGGCCACUAUUACUGGGCUUAAAGCGUUCGUAGCUGGGUCGUUAAGUCUCUUGGGAAAUCUACCGGCUUAACCGAUAGGCGUCCAAGGGAUACUGGCGAUCUAGGGACCGGGAGAGGUGAGGGGUACUUCAGGGGUAGGAGUGAAAUCCUGUAAUCCUUGGGGGACCACCUGUGGCGAAGGCGCCUCACCAGAACGGCUCCGACAGUGAGGGACGAAAGCUGGGGGAGCAAACCGGAUUAGAUACCCGGGUAGUCCCAGCCGUAAACGAUGCGCGUUAGGUGUAUCGAUGACCACGAGUCAUCGAGGUGCCGAAGGGAAACCGUGAAACGCGCCGCCUGGGAAGUACGGUCGCAAGGCUGAAACUUAAAGGAAUUGGCGGGGGAGCACCACAACAGGUGGAGCCUGCGGUUUAAUCGGACUCAACGCCGGAAAUCUCACCGGAUAAGACAGCUGAAUGAUAGUCGGGCUGAAGACUCUACUUGACUAGCUGAGAGGAG
RNAcentral lists this ribosomal RNA (669 nucleotides) under uncultured archaeon. RNAcentral's name for it is "bacterial SSU rRNA". It matches the Rfam family "Archaeal small subunit ribosomal RNA", at positions 316 to 989 of the family's 1478-position model. The record is from RNAcentral.